GCCGGGUGCGUUGGCCCACGCCAGUAAUCCCAGUUUCUAGGGAGGCUGAGGCAGGAGAAUCACAAGUUCAAAGCCAGCCUCAGCAAAAGCGAGGUGCUAAGCAACUCAGUGAGAACCUGCCUCUA
RNAcentral lists this small RNA (125 nucleotides) under Marmota monax (woodchuck). The record is from RNAcentral. Lineage: Eukaryota; Metazoa; Chordata; Mammalia; Rodentia; Sciuridae.